CGCCUGGGGAGUGCGGCCGCAAGGUUAAAACUCAAAUGAAUUGACGGGGGCCCGCACAAGCGGUGGAGCAUGUGGUUUAAUUCGACGCAACGCGAAGAACCUUACCUGGCCUUGACAUGCAGAGAACUUUCCAGAGAUGGAUUGGUGCCUUCGGGAACUCUGACACAGGUGCUGCAUGGCCGUCGUCAGCUCGUGUCGUGAGAUGUUGGGUUAAGUCCCGUAACGAGCGCAACCCCUAUCCCUAGUUGCUAGCAGUUCGGCUGAGAACUCUAGGGAGACUGCCGGUGACAAACCGGAGGAAGGUGGGGAUGACGUCAGGUCAUCAUGGCCCUUACGGCCAGGGCUACACACGUGCUACAAUGGCGCGCACAGAGGGCUGCAAACCGCGAGGGGAGCAAUCUCACAAACGCGUC
This 413-nucleotide ribosomal RNA is filed under the name uncultured Marinobacter sp. RNAcentral describes it as "bacterial SSU rRNA". It matches the Rfam family "Bacterial small subunit ribosomal RNA", at positions 870 to 1287 of the family's 1533-position model. Lineage: Bacteria; Pseudomonadati; Pseudomonadota; Gammaproteobacteria; Pseudomonadales; Marinobacteraceae. The record is from RNAcentral.